RNAcentral lists this non-coding RNA (803 nucleotides) under Pan troglodytes (chimpanzee). The record is from RNAcentral. Lineage: Eukaryota; Metazoa; Chordata; Mammalia; Primates; Hominidae.
GUAUGAACUUUUGCAAGGCUACAAAUCUUGUUAAUGGUGAAGCUAACGUUCAGACCCAAGUGGUUCGGCUCUAGACUUUGUCUCAGUUACUGAAUUGAACUCUCUGUGCACUUACCAUGUGUCAUACCAGCUCUCACUACAUAGUGUCCCAAAAGAUUGGGCCUGCUCUUUCUUUCAGAGACAAUUAGGAAAAAAGUAAACAAAUGGAGCAGGAUUUGGGCAUAACAGCAUGCUCCUCCCAUCCCCCAAAUCCCAGGAGUGUCACUGAGGCAGGAGAAUCGCUUGAACCCAGGAGGCAGAGGUUGCAGUGAGCCGAGAUCACACCACUGCACUCCAGCCUGUAAUGUCUUACAAUAACAGAAUGCAGGAGAGCACAUAUCAAUGAAGAAAAGACAAAAUGUACUUAUCCAUGAAGCUGAGGUUAAGAAACCAGUGUCUUCAAGAGCCAGGGACAGCACUGGGUCUGUGCAGAGUUGAGAGAUGGUGAUGACAUGUGGUUUCCAGCAUUCCUCGCCCAGUCCAGGGACACUGUGGGUGUGCCCAGCUUAAGUCCAGUCCAGUAACUGGAAAUACAAGCCCAAGUUCUGGAGAGUUUGAGCUGCAGAGAUAUAUAUGGGAACACUUUGAACCUUGACUCAUUGGCCAUAACCAGUAGAGUGGAAAAUACAAGAAGAGAAAAAAACAUUGAACUGCGAUUUUAUAACAUCCUUUACUCGGCAGAGAGAAGAGGAAACACCAGGAAAGAAAACUGUAUUACGAUGUGAAAACUUAACGUUGAGAAAUUCAGGCAUCUUGGGGUUAGU